GAUGAACGCUGGCGGCGUGCCUAAUACAUGCAAGUCGAGCGAACGGACGAGAAGCUUGCUUCUCUGAUGUUAGCGGCGGACGGGUGAGUAACACGUGGAUAACCUACCUAUAAGACUGGGAUAACUUCGGGAAACCGGAGCUAAUACCGGAUAAUAUUUUGAACCGCAUGGUUCAAAAGUUAAAGACGGUCUUGCUGUCACUUAUAGAUUGAUCCGCGCUGCAUUAGCUAGUUGGUAAGGUAACGGCUUACCAAGGCAACGAUGCAUAGCCGACCUGAGAGGGUGAUCGGCCACACUGGAACUGAGACACGGUCCAGACUCCUACGGGAGGCAGCAGUAGGGAAUCUUCCGCAAUGGGCGAAAGCCUGACGGAGCAACGCCGCGUGAGUGAUGAAGGUCUUCGGAUCGUAAAACUCUGUUAUUAGGGAAGAACAUAUGUGUAAGUAACUGUGCACAUCUUGACGGUACCUAAUCAGAAAGCCACGGCUAACUACGUG
RNAcentral lists this ribosomal RNA (497 nucleotides) under uncultured bacterium. RNAcentral describes it as "partial 16S ribosomal RNA". It matches the Rfam family "Bacterial small subunit ribosomal RNA", at positions 28 to 507 of the family's 1533-position model. The record is from RNAcentral.